GGGGAAUAUUGCACAAUGGAGGAAACUCUGAUGCAGCGAUGCCGCGUGAGGGAAGAAGGUUUUAGGAUUGUAAACCUCUGUCUUCAGGGACGAAAAAAGGACGGUACCUGAGGAGGAAGCUCCGGCUAACUACGUGCCAGCAGCCGCGGUAAUACGUAGGGGGCGAGCGUUGUCCGGAAUUACUGGGUGUAAAGGGAGCGUAGGCGGGAUCGCAAGUCAGAUGUGAAAACUAUGGGCUUAACCCAUAAACUGCAUUUGAAACUGUGGUUCUUGAGUGAAGUAGAGGUAAGCGGAAUUCCUAGUGUAGCGGUGAAAUGCGUAGAUAUUAGGAGGAACAUCAGUGGCGAAGGCGGCUUACUGGGCUUUAACUGACGCUGAGGCUCGAAAGCGUGGGGAGCAAACAGGAUUAGAUACCCUGGUAGUCCACGCCGUAAACGAUGAUUACUAGGUGUGGGGGGACUGACCCCUUCCGUGCCGCAGCAAACGCAAUAAGUAAUCCACCUGGGGAGUACGACCGCAAGGUUGAAACUCAAAGGAAUUGACGGGGGCCCGCACAAGCAGUGGAGUAUGUGGAUUAAUUCGAAGCAACGCGAAGAACCUUACCAGGUCUUGACAUCGUAUGCAUAGCUCAGAGAUGAGUGAAAUCUCUUCGGAGACAUAUAGACAGGUGGUGCAUGGUUGUCGUCAGCUCGUGUCGUGAGAUGUUGGGUUAAGUCCCGCAACGAGCGCAACCCUUACUGUUAGUUGCUACGCAAGAGCACUCUAGCAGGACUGCCGUUGACAAAACGGAGGAAGGUGGGGAUGACGUCAAAUCAUCAUGCCCCUUAUGACCUGGGCCUCACACGUACUACAAUGGCUGUAAACAGAGGGAAGCAAAGCCGCGAGGUAGAGCGAACCCCUAAAAGCAGUCUUAGUUCGGAUUGUAGGCUGCAACCCGCCUACAUGAAGUCGGAAUUGCUAGUAAUCGCAGAUCAGCAUGCUGCGGUGAAUACGUUCCCG
RNAcentral lists this ribosomal RNA (999 nucleotides) under uncultured bacterium. Its description in RNAcentral is "bacterial SSU rRNA". It matches the Rfam family "Bacterial small subunit ribosomal RNA", at positions 356 to 1376 of the family's 1533-position model. RNAcentral also lists the same sequence under 1 other name. The record is from RNAcentral.